UACGUAGGGAGCAAGCGUUGUCCGGAAUCAUUGGGCGUAAAGCGCGCGUAGGUGGCCUCAUAAGUCCGCUGUGAAAGUCAAAGGCUCAACCUUUGAAAGCCGGUGGAUACUGUGAGGCUAGAGUACGGAAGAGGCGAGUGGAAUUCCUGGUGUAGCGGUGGAAUGCGCAGAUAUCAGGAGGAACACCAAUAGCGAAGGCAGCUCGCUGGGACGUUUACUGACACUGAGGCGCGAAAGCCAGGGGAGCGAACGGG
RNAcentral lists this ribosomal RNA (254 nucleotides) under uncultured bacterium. RNAcentral describes it as "partial 16S ribosomal RNA". It matches the Rfam family "Bacterial small subunit ribosomal RNA", at positions 524 to 776 of the family's 1533-position model. The record is from RNAcentral.